GAUGAACGCUGGCGGCGUGCCUAAUACAUGCAAGUCGAGCGAACGGACGAGAAGCUUGCUUCUCUGAUGUUAGCGGCGGACGGGUGAGUAACACGUGGAUAACCUACCUAUAAGACUGGGAUAACUUCGGGAAACCGGAGCUAAUACCGGAUAAUAUUUUGAACCGCAUGGUUCAAAAGUGAAAGACGGUCUUGCUGUCACUUAUAGAUGGAUCCGCGCUGCAUUAGCUAGUUGGUAAGGUAACGGCUUACCAAGGCAACGAUGCAUAGCCGACCUGAGAGGGUGAUCGGCCCCACUGGAGCUGAGACACGGUCCAGACUCCUACGGGAGGCAGCAGUAGGGAAUCUUCCGCAAUGGGCGGAAGCCUGACGGAGCAACGCCGCGUGAGUGAUGAAGGUCUUCGGAUCGUAAAACUCUGUUAUUAGGGAAGAACAUAUGUGUAAGUAACUGUGCACAUCUUGACGGUACCUAAUCAGAAAGCCACGGCUAACUACGUG
This 497-nucleotide ribosomal RNA is filed under the name uncultured bacterium. Its description in RNAcentral is "partial 16S ribosomal RNA". It matches the Rfam family "Bacterial small subunit ribosomal RNA", at positions 28 to 507 of the family's 1533-position model. The record is from RNAcentral.